This 378-nucleotide ribosomal RNA is filed under the name uncultured bacterium. RNAcentral describes it as "bacterial SSU rRNA". It matches the Rfam family "Bacterial small subunit ribosomal RNA", at positions 527 to 908 of the family's 1533-position model. The record is from RNAcentral.
GUAGGGGGCAAGCGUUAUCCGGAUUUACUGGGUGUAAAGGGAGCGUAGGCCGUCUGGUAAGCGUGUUGUGAAAUGUCGGGGCUCAACCUGGGCAUUGCAGCGCGAACUGUCAGACUUGAGUGCGCGGGAAGUAGGCGGAAUUCGUCGUGUAGCGGUGAAAUGCUUAGAUAUGACGAAGAACUCCGAUUGCGAAGGCAGCCUGCUGUAGCGCAACUGACGCUGAAGCUCGAAAGCGUGGGUAUCGAACAGGAUUAGAUACCCUGGUAGUCCACGCGGUAAACGAUGGAUGCUCGCUGUUUGCGUCUGACGUAAGCGGCCAAGCGAAAGCGUUAAGCAUCCCACCUGGGGAGUACGCCGGCAACGGUGAAACUCAAAGGA